Molecule: unclassified non-coding RNA, 279 nt
Filed under: Scutellinia olivascens
Lineage: Eukaryota; Fungi; Ascomycota; Pezizomycetes; Pezizales; Pyronemataceae
Description: partial internal transcribed spacer region
Rfam family: Eukaryotic small subunit ribosomal RNA (bases 1-46)
Source: RNAcentral
AAGUCGUAACAAGGUUUCCGUAGGUGAACCUGCGGAAGGAUCAUUAAAAGUAAAAUAUGUAUUCUCACGAAUAUACAUUUUUGUAAACCCCAUCUGUGUACCUUACCUGUUGCUUCCGCUGGGCAGUGAUCUCGGUCACCUCCGCAAGGGCGGCUUCAGCCGUCGGCGCGGGGAGUCCUCGCGAAUGGAUCUACAUCAAACUCUUGCAUUCCUAUGUCAUCUGUCUGAACCUGUUUAUAACAAAUGUUAAAACUUUCAACAACGGAUCUCUUGGUUCUC